This 253-nucleotide ribosomal RNA is filed under the name uncultured bacterium. Its description in RNAcentral is "partial 16S ribosomal RNA". It matches the Rfam family "Bacterial small subunit ribosomal RNA", at positions 524 to 776 of the family's 1533-position model. The record is from RNAcentral.
GACGUAGGGGGCAAGCGUUGUCCGGAAUCAUUGGGCGUAAAGCGCGUGUAGGCGGCCCGGUAAGUCCGCUGUGAAAGUCGGGGGCUCAACCCUCGGAUGCCGGUGGAUACUGUCGGGCUAGAGUGCGGGAGAGGCGAGUGGAAUUCCUGGUGUAGCGGUGAAAUGCGCAGAUAUCAGGAGGAACACCAAUUGCGAAGGCAGCUCGCUGGAACGUUACUGACGCUGAGACGCGAAAGCGUGGGGAGCAAACAGG